CCCGCUGAACUUAAGCAUAUCAAUAAGCGGAGGAAAAGAAACCAACAGGGAUUGCCUCAGUAACGGCGAGUGAAGCGGCAACAGCUCAAAUUUGAAAUCUGGCUCUCUCAGGGCCCGAGUUGUAAUUUGUAGAAGAUGCUUUGGGUGUGGCUCCGGUCUAAGUUCCUUGGAACAGGACGUCAUAGAGGGUGAGAAUCCCGUAUGUGACUGGUCGCCUUCGCCCGUGUAAAGCUCUUUCGACGAGUCGAGUUGUUUGGGAAUGCAGCUCAAAAUGGGUGGUAAAUUUCAUCUAAAGCUAAAUAUUGGCCAGAGACCGAUAGCGCACAAGUAGAGUGAUCGAAAGAUGAAAAGCACUUUGGAAAGAGAGUUAAACAGUACGUGAAAUUGUUGAAAGGGAAGCGCUUGCAACCAGACUUGCGCGCAGUCAAUCAUCUGGUGUUCUCACCGGUGCACUUUUCUGCGUUCAGGCCAGCAUCGGUUUAGGUGGUGGGAUAAAGGCCUUGGGAAUGUAGCUUCUUUCGGGGAGUGUUAUAGCCCUCGGUGCAAUGCCGCCUACCUGGACCGAGGACCGCGCUUCGGCUAGGAUGCUGGCGUAAUGGUUGUAAGCGACCCGUCUUGAAACACGGACCAAGGAGUCUAACAUCUAUGCGAGUGUUUGG
This 659-nucleotide ribosomal RNA is filed under the name Acidithiobacillus sp. MC6.1. Its description in RNAcentral is "partial 23S ribosomal RNA". It matches the Rfam family "Eukaryotic large subunit ribosomal RNA", at positions 24 to 697 of the family's 3401-position model. Lineage: Bacteria; Pseudomonadati; Pseudomonadota; Acidithiobacillia; Acidithiobacillales; Acidithiobacillaceae. The record is from RNAcentral.